GCGCGCAUAGCUCAAUUGGUAGAGCGCCACAUUGACGUUGUGGAUGUUCUAGGUUCAAGUCCUAGUGCGCGCA
Molecule: transfer RNA, 73 nt
Filed under: bacterium
Lineage: Bacteria
Description: tRNA-Val
Rfam family: tRNA
About the family: Transfer RNA (tRNA) molecules are approximately 80 nucleotides in length.
Source: RNAcentral